RNAcentral lists this ribosomal RNA (336 nucleotides) under uncultured bacterium. RNAcentral's name for it is "bacterial SSU rRNA". It matches the Rfam family "Bacterial small subunit ribosomal RNA", at positions 18 to 344 of the family's 1533-position model. The record is from RNAcentral.
CCUGGCUCAGGACGAACGCUGGCGGCGGGCCUAAUACAUGCAAGGAGAACGCUGAAGAGAGGAGCUUGCUCUUCUUGGAUGAGUUGCGAACGGUUGAGUAACGCGUAGGUAACCUGCCUGUUAGCGGGGGAUAACUAUUGGAAACGAUAGCUAAUACCGCAUGAUAUUAAUUAUCGCAUGAUAAUUAAUUGAAAGAUGCAAUUGCAUCACUACCAGAUGGACCUGCGUUGUAUUAGCUAGUUGGUGAGGUAACGGCUCACCAAGGCGACGAUACAUUGCCGACCUGAGAGGGUGAUCGGCCACCCUGGGACUGAGACACGGCCCAGACUCCUACGG